Molecule: non-coding RNA, 89 nt
Organism: Triticum aestivum (bread wheat)
Lineage: Eukaryota; Viridiplantae; Streptophyta; Magnoliopsida; Poales; Poaceae
Source: Rfam
GGGGUGGUGGCGCAGUUGGCUAGCGCGUAGGUCUCAUAGCUAAGACGUGAGUGAUCCUGAGGUCGAGAGUUCGACCCUCUCUCACAACU